This 37-nucleotide non-coding RNA is filed under the name Seculamonas ecuadoriensis. The record is from RNAcentral. Lineage: Eukaryota; Jakobea; Jakobida; Moramonadidae.
GGGAAUGAUAUAUACUAGAGAUCGACAUUCAAAAUGU